AGGCCCCGUGUGAGAAGCCCCCUUCCCAGUGAACUCUCCCGUGUGUGUACGCGUGGACAGCCAACAGGGGGAGCAGUGCGAGCGUGAAGGCAGACAGUGGCCUGGCCCAGUCUGAUG
Molecule: long non-coding RNA, 117 nt
Filed under: Pongo abelii (Sumatran orangutan)
Lineage: Eukaryota; Metazoa; Chordata; Mammalia; Primates; Hominidae
Description: lincRNA
Source: RNAcentral